UGUUCUUCCCUGACUUUUUUGGGCCCUUUUUUAAGCAGUCGGGUAGAAUAAAUGAUGAAUUUUACGAACGAAAUAGGUGUCUAGAAGUGUCUAGUCCGUUUUUCCCUGACUCCAUUUCAUUUUCCCUGACUUUUCCCUGACUUCCCUGACCGUUUUCAAAAUAACUGACUUUUCCAGGUUUUCAAGGUUUUCCAGGCUUGUGGCAACCCUGUUUACGGCGAAAACGCUCAUGAAAUUCCUCCGUCACUCUUACUCUGACCUGCCUCCUGCUUGGCUGCCUACAGAGACACAGUUCUCGCCACGUCUUUUAUCUGUCUUUUCGGGGUUCAUCGUGCGGUAUCACGCAUACUUCUCUCUCCACCCUGGCUAAAGCAGGAAACUGCGUUUUGGAAGGUCGUCGCAACUGGGCAGGAAAGCUUUAUCAGUGAGAUAUUCUCUCUUGACCUCCCGGCCUUUCAAGAGAGAAUAUCUCAAGAGAUGGUCUCUGAAGACUAUAAAAGGCAGAGGCAGUCGUCCAGAGACGCCAGUAUGCGUCUUGCCCCAGUUAAGCAAGAUUCAACCAACAACACCAUCAGCCAUCAGCUCAAGAAAUGAAGGUCCUCCUUCUCGCAGUAGUGCUUGGCACGGCAGGGUUGGUAAAAUCGGAAUGUUGCUUGUCAGAGACACUCCUGUUCGAUGCUGCAGGGACAGAUAAUUGCAAGGGUUACAGAAUGCAUUUUCUGCCUAGUGGACCAUUGGCGAUUCCCACUCAACCUAUUGCACGAAUGUGUGAAGUUGACGUUUGUGGAGAUGGCAAGCCACCAACAGGAACCUAUUGUGGAAAGGGCAAAUGCAUUUUGGGUUGCAAGUGUGACGGAGGAUGUAUUGAAGGGGACUUCCGC
Long non-coding RNA from Thrips palmi, 881 nucleotides. RefSeq lists it as uncharacterized. Lineage: Eukaryota; Metazoa; Arthropoda; Insecta; Thysanoptera; Thripidae. The transcript has 3 exons. The record is from RefSeq and is a predicted model, not a curated record.